CUCCUAAAGAGUAACGGAGGAGCACGAAGGUUGGCUAAUCCUGGUCGGACAUCAGGAGGUUAGUGCAAUGGCAUAAGCCAGCUUGACUGCGAGCGUGACGGCGCGAGCAGGUGCGAAAGCAGGUCAUAGUGAUCCGGUGGUUCUGAAUGGAAGGGCCAUCGCUCAACGGAUAAAAGGUACUCCGGGGAUAACAGGCUGAUACCGCCCAAGAGUUCAUAUCGACGGCGGUGUUUGGCACCUCGAUGUCGGCUCAUCACAUCCUGGGGCUGAAGUAGGUCCCAAGGGUAUGGCUGUUCGCCAUUUAAAGUGGUACGCGAGCUGGGUUUAGAACGUCGUGAGACAGUUCGGUCCCUAUCUGCCGUGGGCGCUGGAGAACUGAGGGGGGCUGCUCCUAGUACGAGAGGACCGGAGUGGACGCAUCACUGGUGUUCGGGUUGUCAUGCCAAUGGCACUGCCCGGUAGCUAAAUGCGGAAGAGAUAAGUGCUGAAAGCAUCUAAGCACGAAACUUGCCCCGA
RNAcentral lists this ribosomal RNA (516 nucleotides) under Escherichia coli. RNAcentral's name for it is "partial 23S ribosomal RNA". It matches the Rfam family "Bacterial large subunit ribosomal RNA", at positions 2287 to 2802 of the family's 2925-position model. The record is from RNAcentral. RNAcentral also lists the same sequence under 11 other names. Lineage: Bacteria; Pseudomonadati; Pseudomonadota; Gammaproteobacteria; Enterobacterales; Enterobacteriaceae.